AGCGGCGGACGGGUGAGUAAUGCCUAGGAAAUUGCCCUGAUGUGGGGGAUAACCAUUGGAAACGAUGGCUAAUACCGCAUGAUGCCUACGGGCCAAAGAGGGGGACCUUCGGGCCUCUCGCGUCAGGAUAUGCCUAGGUGGGAUUAGCUAGUUGGUGAGGUAAGGGCUCACCAAGGCGACGAUCCCUAGCUGGUCUGAGAGGAUGAUCAGCCACACUGGAACUGAGACACGGUCCAGACUCCUACGGGAGGCAGCAGUGGGGAAUAUUGCACAAUGGGCGCAAGCCUGAUGCAGCCAUGCCGCGUGUGUGAAGAAGGCCUUCGGGUUGUAAAGCACUUUCAGUCGUGAGGAAGGUAGUGUAGUUAAUAGCUGCAUUAUUUGACGUUAGCGACAGAAGAAGCACCGGCUAACUCCGUGCCAGCAGCCGCGGUAAUACGGAGGGUGCGAGCGUUAAUCGGAAUUACUGGGCGUAAAGCGCAUGCAGGUGGUUUGUUAAGUCAGAUGUGAAAGCCCGGGGCUCAACCUCGGAAUUGCAUUUGAAACUGGCAGACUAGAGUACUGUAGAGGGGGGUAGAAUUUCAGGUGUAGCGGUGAAAUGCGUAGAGAUCUGAAGGAAUACCGGUGGCGAAGGCGGCCCCCUGGACAGAUACUGACACUCAGAUGCGAAAGCGUGGGGAGCAAACAGGAUUAGAUACCCUGGUAGUCCACGCCGUAAACGAUGUCUACUUGGAGGUUGUGGCCUUGAGCCGUGGCUUUCGGAGCUAACGCGUUAAGUAGACCGCCUGGGGAGUACGGUCGCAAGAUUAAAACUCAAAUGAAUUGACGGGGGCCCGCACAAGCGGUGGAGCAUGUGGUUUAAUUCGAUGCAACGCGAAGAACCUUACCUACUCUUGACAUCCAGAGAACUUUCCAGAGAUGGAUUGGUGCCUUCGGGAACUCUGAGACAGGUGCUGCAUGGCUGUCGUCAGCUCGUGUUGUGAAAUGUUGGGUUAAGUCCCGCAACGAGCGCAACCCUUAUCCUUGUUUGCCAGCGAGUAAUGUCGGGAACUCCAGGGAGACUGCCGGUGAUAAACCGGAGGAAGGUGGGGACGACGUCAAGUCAUCAUGGCCCUUACGAGUAGGGCUACACACGUGCUACAAUGGCGCAUACAGAGGGCAGCCAACUUGCGAAAGUGAGCGAAUCCCAAAAAGUGCGUCGUAGUCCGGAUUGGAGUCUGCAACUCGACUCCAUGAAGUCGGAAUCGCUAGUAAUCGUGGAUCAGAAUGCCACGGUGAAUACGUUCCCGGGCCUUGUACACACCGCCCGUCACACCAUGGGAGUGGGCUGCAAAAGAAGUAGGUAGUUUAACCUUCGGGGGGACGCUUACCAC
This 1370-nucleotide ribosomal RNA is filed under the name Vibrio parahaemolyticus. RNAcentral describes it as "16S ribosomal RNA". It matches the Rfam family "Bacterial small subunit ribosomal RNA", at positions 94 to 1460 of the family's 1533-position model. Lineage: Bacteria; Pseudomonadati; Pseudomonadota; Gammaproteobacteria; Vibrionales; Vibrionaceae. The record is from RNAcentral.